UGCGUAGGCGGGGCAAUUAGUCAGUGGUGAAAUCCUGCGGCUUAACCGUAGAACUGCCAUUGAUAUUGUUGCCCUUGAGUAUAGUUGAAGUGGGCGGAAUAUGUAAUGUAGCGGUGAAAUGCAUAGAGAUUACAUAGAACACCAAUUGCGAAGGCAGCUCACUAAGCUAUCACUGACGCUGAGGCACGAAAGCGUGGGGAGCGAACAGGAUUAGAUACCCUGGUAGUCC
RNAcentral lists this ribosomal RNA (229 nucleotides) under uncultured bacterium. Its description in RNAcentral is "partial 16S ribosomal RNA". It matches the Rfam family "Bacterial small subunit ribosomal RNA", at positions 568 to 796 of the family's 1533-position model. The record is from RNAcentral.